This 285-nucleotide unclassified non-coding RNA is filed under the name uncultured Cortinarius. RNAcentral's name for it is "sequence contains ITS2". The record is from RNAcentral. Lineage: Eukaryota; Fungi; Basidiomycota; Agaricomycetes; Agaricales; Cortinariaceae.
AACGCACCUUGCGCUCCUUGGUAUUCUGAGGAGCAUGCCUGUUUGAGUGUCAUUAAUAUAUCAACCUCUACAACUUUUGUUGAGUUGUUGGAUGUGGGGGGCUUUGCUGGCUUCUUUCUCUGAGGUCAGCUCCCCUGAAAUACAUUAGCGGAAUGAUCCCCGUUCAUUGGUGUGAUAACUAUCUACGCUAUUGACGUGAAGUAGUUUGGCUUAUAACAGUCCAUUGACUUGGACAAUUUUCAUUAAUGUGACCUCAAAUCAGGUAGGACUACCCGCUGAACUUAA